This 253-nucleotide ribosomal RNA is filed under the name uncultured bacterium. RNAcentral's name for it is "partial 16S ribosomal RNA". It matches the Rfam family "Bacterial small subunit ribosomal RNA", at positions 524 to 776 of the family's 1533-position model. The record is from RNAcentral.
UACGGGGGGGGCAAGCGUUGUUCGGAAUUACUGGGCGUAAAGGGUUCGUAGGUGGCUUGCUAAGUCAGACGUGAAAUCCCUCAGCUCAACUGGGGAACUGCGUCUGAGACUGGCGAGCUUGAGUGCAGGAGAUGAAUGCGGAAUUCCAGGUGUAGCGGUGAAAUGCGUAGAUAUCUGGAGGAACACCGGUGGCGAAGGCGGCGUCCUGGACCAACACUGACGCUGAUGAGCGAAAGCCAGGGGAGCAAACGGG